RNAcentral lists this long non-coding RNA (945 nucleotides) under Homo sapiens (human). Lineage: Eukaryota; Metazoa; Chordata; Mammalia; Primates; Hominidae. The record is from RNAcentral.
CCGGAAAGGGCGGAGGAGGGAAGGCUUUAGUGUAGAAAACCAACCAAACCAAACCCAAACCAACAAAACCCUUCACCUAAAACCCGAAGCUACCCAGACCUCAGAAUUUUGGAUGUCUAUUAAGUUGGCGGGAUCUGACGCACUAAGAAGGCUAGACAGUUUGAAAAGAGCCCCUAUCAAAGCAACCUGAAUUCUGCUAAAAUUGAAGCAAGAACAAACAUGGAGUUUCUGGUGAAGAAUGAUGAAAUUGAUGCCUUAUGAAAAGUUUAUGAGGACAAUGCCCCAAAUAAAUCAUCAGUCUACAAAUGCAUAACUCAUUUUAAGAAACGAGGAGAUGGACAAGCAUGGUGGCUCAUGCCUGUAAUCCCAGCACUUUGGGAGGAUUAUGCACGAGCCUCUCUCAAGCCCAGGAGUUUGAGACCAGCCUGGGCAACAUAGCGAGACCUCAUCUCACUAAAAAUUUAAAAAUUAGCCAAGUGUGGUGGUGCACACCUGUAGUUCCAGCGUCUUGGGAGGCUGAGGCAGGAGGAUUGCUUGAGCCCAGCAGUUCAAGGUUGCAGUGAGCUAUGAUUGCACCACCGUGCUGCAGCCUGGGUAACAGAGUGAGAACCUGUCUCAACAAAAAGGGGAGGAGAUGAUGUUGAAGAUACAGAUAGUGGCAGACUAUCCACAUCACUUUGUGAGGAAAAAAAUUCAUCUUGUUUGUGCCCUAAUUGAAGAGAACUGACAACAGCAGAAACAAUAGCCAACACCAUAGACAUCUCAGUUGGGUCAGUUUACACAAUUCUGACUGAAAAGUUACAGUGGAGCAAACUUUCAACUCGAUAGGUAACAAAACUGUUGUACCCAGAUCUGCUACAGUUAAGAGGAGAGCUUUCAGUGGAAAGUUUAAACAAGUGGGGUCAAGAUCCUUGAUAUGGCUUUGUGACCUCACCCAAAUCUCAU